This 292-nucleotide ribosomal RNA is filed under the name uncultured bacterium. Its description in RNAcentral is "partial 16S ribosomal RNA". It matches the Rfam family "Bacterial small subunit ribosomal RNA", at positions 505 to 796 of the family's 1533-position model. The record is from RNAcentral.
GUGUCAGCAGCCGCGGUAAGACGAACCUCCCAAACGUUAUUCGGAAUCACUGGGCUUAAAGGGUGCGUAGGCUGCGUAGUUAGUCGGGUGUGAAAUCCCCCAGCUUAACUGAGGAAUUGCGCCCGAUACUGCUGCGCUGGAGGGAGACAGAGGUAAGCGGAACUGAUGGUGGAGCGGUGAAAUGCGUUGAUAUCAUCAGGAACACCAGUGGCGAAAGCGGCUUACUGGGUCUCUUCUGACGCUGAGGCACGAAAGCUAGGGGAGCAAACGGGAUUAGAAACCCGUGUAGUCC